CAGUUUUAGUUGAUGUCUUGCUUGAAACAUGCAUGAAGAGUGUGAUUACAAUAAAAAUAUAAAUAAGAUCAUAGGAUUAAUUUUUAGUUAGACUAUAUAAAGGUGCAAUGUUAAUGGCCAAUUUUAGUUACGUACUUUUUCAAAAAUAAUAUUUGCAUGCAUUUGUAAUAGGUUUAGCAUUUUGAUACUAUAUUUUUAACACCAUUUUG
This 209-nucleotide long non-coding RNA is filed under the name Capsicum annuum. RNAcentral's name for it is "long non-coding RNA (CANN_LNC014432)". Lineage: Eukaryota; Viridiplantae; Streptophyta; Magnoliopsida; Solanales; Solanaceae. The record is from RNAcentral.